This is a long non-coding RNA of Vigna unguiculata (cowpea), 310 nucleotides long. The record is from RefSeq and is a predicted model, not a curated record. Lineage: Eukaryota; Viridiplantae; Streptophyta; Magnoliopsida; Fabales; Fabaceae.
UGAGUCUACAUUUAGCAUUGGUGGUCACGUGCUUAACAAGUAUCGAUCUAAUCUUCUUCCUGACAAUGUUCAAGCACUGAUUUUAACUCAAAAUUGGUUACAUGGAUUUGAAAAUAUUGAUGAAGAUAAUGAAGAUGAUCAAAAGGAAGAGGAAGUUGUUCUAGACUUUUCAAUCCAUGACUCCAAUGCACCUCAUGUGUAGUAAUUCUAGAUCAGGGCAACCACCAGAUUUGAAGAAUCAUUUAGCAGCUGCCAAAUUAUGUUUUUUGCAAGGGGAAGGUUUUGUUAUUUGCAGUUCAUGUAGGACAAG